AGGAUGAACGCUAGCGGCAGGCCUAAUACAUGCAAGUCGAACGGUGGUAGCAAUAUCAUAGUGGCGCACGGGUGCGUAACACGUAACUAACCUACCUAUAACUGGGGGAUAGCCCGCCGAAAGGCGGAUUAAUACCGCAUAAGCUGUUGAGGUGGCAUCACCUUAUUAGUAAAGAUUUAUUGGUUAUAGAUGGGGUUGCGGGUCAUUAGCUAGUUGGUAGGGUAACGGCUUACCAAGGCGACGAUGACUAGGGGAGCUGAGAGGCUGGUCCCCCACACGGGCACUGAGAUACGGGCCCGACUCCUACGGGAGGCAGCAGUAGGGAAUAUUGGGCAAUGGGCGAGAGCCUGACCCAGCCAUGCCGCGUGCAGGAUGAAGGCUUUCUGAGUCGUAAACUGCUUUUGACAGGGAAGAAGUAAGGCUUACGUGUAGGCUGAUGACGGUACCUGCAGAAUAAGCACCGGCUAACUCCGCGCCAGCACGCCGCGGUAA
RNAcentral lists this ribosomal RNA (492 nucleotides) under uncultured bacterium. RNAcentral describes it as "SSU rRNA". It matches the Rfam family "Bacterial small subunit ribosomal RNA", at positions 26 to 523 of the family's 1533-position model. The record is from RNAcentral.